GGCUGAGCUUGGCCGGGGAGCUAGACGUACCCUGUGACCCCCAACCGCCUUUAGGGGGGGCGACAGCCGGCGGCGGCGCACCCAGUGGGUCGCCCAAUCCGCAAUCCGACCGUGAAGUCCUGUCCUCCGGGGUCGCAGGCGGUCAGUGCGGUCUGCCGGAGGGCAGGCCGUCGGCCUUCACCACGGGAAUCGGGUCAGGCCCGGAAGGGAGCAGCCCCACCGUGGACUUCCGACGCUCGGAUGGGU
Molecule: signal recognition particle RNA, 246 nt
Filed under: Candidatus Poseidoniia archaeon
Lineage: Archaea; Methanobacteriati; Thermoplasmatota; Candidatus Poseidoniia
Description: partial signal recognition particle sRNA
Rfam family: Archaeal signal recognition particle RNA
Source: RNAcentral